Molecule: ribosomal RNA, 433 nt
Filed under: uncultured bacterium
Lineage: Bacteria
Description: partial 16S ribosomal RNA
Rfam family: Bacterial small subunit ribosomal RNA
Source: RNAcentral
AACGAACGCUGGCGGCAUGCCUAACACAUGCAAGUCGAACGAGACCUUCGGGUCUAGUGGCGCACGGGUGCGUAACGCGUGGGAACCUGCCCUUAGGUUCGGAAUAACUCCCCGAAAGGGGUGCUAAUACCGGAUAAUGUCUUCGGACCAAAGAUUUAUCGCCUUUAGAUGGGCCCGCGUUGGAUUAGCUAGUUGGUAGGGUAAAAGCCUACCAAGGCGACGAUCCAUAGCUGGUCUGAGAGGAUGAUCAGCCACACUGGGACUGAGACACGGCCCAGACUCCUACGGGAGGCAGCAGUGGGGAAUAUUGGACAAUGGGCGAAAGCCUGAUCCAGCAAUGCCGCGUGAGUGAUGAAGUCCUUAGGGUUGUAAAGCUCUUUUACCCGGGAUGAUAAUGACAGUACCGGGAGAAUAAGCUCCGGCUAACUCCGUG